RNAcentral lists this ribosomal RNA (775 nucleotides) under uncultured Neocallimastigales. Its description in RNAcentral is "partial large subunit ribosomal RNA". It matches the Rfam family "Eukaryotic large subunit ribosomal RNA", at positions 18 to 646 of the family's 3401-position model. Lineage: Eukaryota; Fungi; Neocallimastigomycota; Neocallimastigomycetes; Neocallimastigales. The record is from RNAcentral.
UCAGACGAUGCGUCAUGCAUAUCAAUAAGCGGAGGAAAAGAAACUAACAAGGAUUCCCCUAGUAACGGCGAGUGAAGCGGGAAGAGCUCAAAUUUGAAAUCUUAAAGGGUUUCCCUUUACGAAUUGUAGUUUAAAGAAGUGUUUUCUGUUGAGGUUUUGGUAAAAGUUCUUUGGAAUAGGACGUCAUAGAGGGUGAGAAUCCCGUAUUUGACCUUUACUUUCAACUUUGUGAUACACUUUCAAAGAGUCGGAUUGUUUGGGAAUGCAGUCCAAAAUGGGUGGUAAAUUUCAUCUAAAGCUAAAUAUUGGCGAGAGACCGAUAGCGAACAAGUACCGUGAGGGAAAGAUGAAAAGAACUUUGAAAAGAGAGUUAAACAGUACGUGAAAUUGUCAAAAGGGAAGCGUUUGACACCAGUGUUGUUUUUCUGAAAAUCAAUUAAAGAACUGUUUAUGCUAAGUUGUUUAGACUUUAUCAGCUAUCUGUUUAGUUUUGAGCCUUUUCUUUAAUGCACUUUUCAGUUAACAAGUCAGCAUCAAUUUCUUUUGCUGUAAAAAAGCUUGAGGAAGGUGGCUUGAGAUUCGUCUUAAGUGUUUAUAGCCUCUUGCCUAUGCAGUCGGAGAGAUUGAGGUCUGCAGCGUAGAUCCUUCGGGGCUAAAUGCAUUUGUGCUAAGUUAUAGCAUUUUAUAGACAACUUGUUGACUAUGAUUUGUCUUGUAGCUUACUCGCUUAUGUUAUUUUACCUACGCUUAGGAUGUUGACACACGCGCGUGCUCG